Long non-coding RNA from Lagopus leucura (white-tailed ptarmigan), 957 nucleotides. RefSeq lists it as uncharacterized. NCBI's taxonomy places the organism in Eukaryota, Metazoa, Chordata, Aves, Galliformes, Phasianidae. The record is from RefSeq and is a predicted model, not a curated record. The transcript has 4 exons.
CCUUACAACCCGUUCAGCUAUUCUAAUAUUUAACGCUUCUUUUACCCACUGCCUGGAAGUUGAACUGCAAUGCAAGCAAGGCACCAGCGCUGCCCUAAGUCAGGGGGAAGCCCACAGAGGGCUACUACUCAUUGAAAAGUGCCCCAGAACUCAACCCUGCCUUAGGAACAGGGCUGCAGCACUUCAUCUUUUGCCUCGAGGCCAGUCCCCGUGCUGGCUGACACUUCUGCUUCCCAGCAGGGCAAUCACACACCCGCCACCAACAGCAGGAGGAAGGACACCAGGCCGGCAUCCUCUGCUUCUCAGCCCGGUGAGGAGCCCAAGGGCAAACUGCUGAUCUCAAGGGUGCCCCGAGCAGACAAAGCUGUGCGUCUGAGACAAACGGAGCAGCCCAGCAGCUGGCUGUUUCAGAGGAAAUUCCAGUCCCUGCUCAAAGGCUGAAAAUACAUAUGCUUUUCUAAACUUGAGCAACUGUGCCACUUCUGGAAAAACAACCUCGCGUCCAACUUUUGUCCCAGCAGCUUCUCCCUCCGCCCCCAGGCCUCCGGAUCACACUGUUUCCCCACAACCACAGAUCCUCUUCAGCAGGGCUCCUCCGCUACCUGGGCUGUCUGUCAGCAGCACCAAAAGCCCAUAAAGCAGAGGCGUAUGGGUGCGCAGGGAAGAAGGACACACAGAUUACAGAUGGGAGACAGCGAGCAGCAUUAUACGGCUAAUUCUGUAGGGGAAACUAAAGCCCACUGUGUGUAGAGGCUGCAGAGCAAAGCUCAACGGAGAGGGCCGCUCAUGUUAGUGAGGAGCCCUUCAGCUUUCCAUUCCUUAUAUGUGCAAAGUGUGCAAGCCCGCACACACAGCUCUCUACUCACCCAGAGGUACAUCAUGUUAGCCUGGGUCGCUCGAACCCAGCAGUGAGAUGAUCCGGGAACGCAGGAGGCACUUCAGGAAAAAGCUGACGAG